UGCCCAGAUAGUGGAACGCCACAUG
This 25-nucleotide non-coding RNA is filed under the name Mus musculus (house mouse). The record is from RNAcentral. Lineage: Eukaryota; Metazoa; Chordata; Mammalia; Rodentia; Muridae.